AGUGGCGGACGGGUGAGUAACGCGUGAGAAUCUGCCUUGGGGUCGGGGACAACCACUGGAAACGGUGGCUAAUACCGGAUAAGCCGAUUGGUGAAAGAUUUAUUGCCCGAAGAGGAGCUCGCGUCUGAUUAGCUAGUUGGUGAGGUAAGAGCUCACCAAGGCAGCGAUCAGUAGCUGGUCUGAGAGGACGAUCAGCCACACUGGGACUGAGACACGGCCCAGACUCCUACGGGAGGCAGCAGUGGGGAAUUUUCCGCAAUGGGCGAAAGCCUGACGGAGCAAGACCGCGUGAGGGAGGAAGGCUCUUGGGUUGUAAACCUCUUUUCUCAGGGAAGAAGCUCUUACGGUACCUGAGGAAUCAGCCUCGGCUAACUCCGUGCCAGCAGCCGCGGUAAUACGGAGGAGGCAAGCGUUAUCCGGAAUUAUUGGGCGUAAAGCGUCCGCAGGUGGCGAUUCAAGUCUGCUGUCAAAGCACGGGGCUUAACUCCGUAAAGGCAGUGGAAACUGAAUAGCUAGAGUGCCGUAGGGGUAGAGGGAAUUCCCGGUGUAGCGGUGAAAUGCGUAGAGAUCGGGAAGAACAUCGGUGGCGAAAGCGCUCUACUGGACGGCAACUGACACUCAGGGACGAAAGCUAGGGGAGCGAAUGGGAUUAGAUACCCC
Molecule: ribosomal RNA, 660 nt
Filed under: uncultured bacterium
Lineage: Bacteria
Description: bacterial SSU rRNA
Rfam family: Bacterial small subunit ribosomal RNA
Source: RNAcentral